Molecule: unclassified non-coding RNA, 287 nt
Filed under: Circinaria sp.
Lineage: Eukaryota; Fungi; Ascomycota; Lecanoromycetes; Pertusariales; Megasporaceae
Also listed under: 2 other names
Description: partial contains 5.8S ribosomal RNA, internal transcribed spacer 2, and large subunit ribosomal RNA
Rfam family: 5.8S ribosomal RNA (bases 1-52)
Source: RNAcentral
AACGCACAUUGCGCCCUCUGGUAUUCCGGGGGGCAUGCCUGUUCGAGCGUCAUUACACCUCUUAAGCAUAGCUUAGUAUUAGAACUCUUUACUCAAUGCAAGUUGGGUAGUUCUAAAAAUUAGUGGCAGAGUAGAAAUUGCUCUUAGUACAGUUAUAUUUUGAUCUUACUACAUGAGUCUUUCUCUUUCUUGCCAAAUACCGCAGCAAAAGAACGAAGUCAUUUGCGAUUUUGCUACAUCUUUUUAUGGUUGACCUCGGAUCAGGUAGGGAUACCCGCUGAACUUAA